Molecule: long non-coding RNA, 2088 nt
Filed under: Equus asinus (donkey)
Lineage: Eukaryota; Metazoa; Chordata; Mammalia; Perissodactyla; Equidae
Description: lncRNA (ENSEASG00005028093.1)
Source: RNAcentral
CUUACUGUCUUAAAUGAUUCAUUCCACGAAAUCAUCUUUCAUAUUGGACAAACCUGCAAGCAAUCAUUCUGAGAUUUUGAGUUAUGAUCUUACCGUUUCAAACAAGUCUCCUUAAGCUGCAUAACCAGUGAAUUGCAGAUGAAUAAUAAAACAGAUCACCUUACAACAGCAACAUUUUCUAAGUUUAAAAAGCCAAUUUGCAAAUCAUACAUAACCUCACUCACAUGUGAGAUUUUUCCUCUCCAGCCAAAGCCUACCAAUGUGAUGGGGAUUGAUAGCUCUGGUUUGACCUAAAAUGAUUUCACAGGGAGUUUUUUUAAGUUGAAAAGCCAAAAAGAAUUUCGAAUAUGACUCUCUCUGUUUGGCUUUACACAAUUGGUAGUCACAAGAGAAGCAUUUAAAUUCUGAGUCAAUUGUUUUUCUUUUAACAAGAAUAAAUGAAAGCAAAAGACAAAAAGAAAAUUCUGUCUCCAUCUCUACAGCUGCGCUGUUUGGAUAUGUUGUGUCAAAAAAGAAAAGAAACUAAACACCUAUCUUUGAAGGACGAAACCAUGCAGCCAUCCUCAGUGAUGCUCCAGACAUGGAUUUCUCUUUGUAGAGCUUCUGGCCCAGACAUUCUCGACCCACAGAAAUCUGCCACAGAUCACGAACUUCCUCUGUCCUGUGGCAAGACACUGUGGCUCACCUAGGAAUAGGCUGCCACCAGUAAUGAAGUCUCUGGAAUCACAAGGCCGGGACCUGAACAGGGCUUGGACCAUGACAGUGACGAUUCUUCAGAUCUUCUUCCAUUGGGCAGCUCUUAUUAGUCUUAUUAUGAAGACUAAUCCAGGAAAGCAACAAAUUGGUGACACAUGAAGUUAAGAAAUUUGUUUGAACUUUUUUCCUAGCAAGACUUUUUGGUCCUCCUAAUAAUCUGGCUUGUCAAUGAUUUUCUCAAAUAUCCCAUAGCUGAGUUUUCACACAUCAAGAUCUACAGUUUGAAGAUCAGACAAGAAGGAGAAAGGACAAAGCUCAAAAGGAGAAAGCUCGUCCAGAGGCUGGAGGAGAAAGUUGAGCCUCCUGGAAGUCCUCCAGAGGGCAGGCUCUAGAAAAUUGAAGUCAGCGGGACAAAUUUCCUUCUUUCCCUGUUAGCAUUACUGGGAACUGCCAGCCUGUCAUUCCUGCCUCCAACCCCACCUGGGUGAGGCAGGGCAGCAAUGGUUGGGGAAUCUAGAUACAGGCAUCUGAGAACAACCUCACAGAGCCUCACCAUGCCAGUGGCCCAUGGAGAAGCAGCCAAGGGUUCCUGGAACCUUGAGGAAGAGAUCCCAAGGAGACCUAGCAUCAAAUGAGAGGGCCACAGUGUGGGGGGACCUGACAACUGGGGACAGUGGCAAGGACCAUGGACAUUCUGACUUGACACUUAUGGGCUGUGGACAAGGCACUUAGUGUGUCUGAGCCACAGUUUCCUUAUCUGUAUCUAAUCUCAUAGGGCUGGUAUGAGAAUUGUACAAGCAAGUACACCCGAAGUUCUUAGAACUAGACCCUUGCUCAUGAUAGGUACUCAACAAAAGCUAGUUUUUAUAAGUAUCAGUUGCAAACACUGCCCUAAACACUGGAUGAGACCAGCCUCAUUCCUGUGGUUGAUGAAGCAAGUCCCCAGUCACUAAGGGACCAAGAGACACUGUGGCAGAUGUGGCAAGUGACCAAACCAAGUGAGAUACCGUGACCAGGGUCAGCAAGGAUGAAAUGACACGUCUCUAGAGCCAACUCGUGAACCACACCCCCACCCCGAUUUACAUCAACCAGAGAAGGAAGAGAUGGAAUAACACAGAGUAAUUACCCAGAAUAUGCUAUCUUAAACUGGAUGAGAUGGAGACAACUUCACCUGACAAAUCAAGUGUUUUCUACCAUCAAGAAACACGAAAGUAGAGUAAAAUGGGACCAGUCCUAGAAAAUAAGGAAAGUUCCUUUUUAUGCACAUGUGAGCCACAGGAGCAGACUUAAAUCUUGUUCUAGGGUCCUUUGGCCUUGUUUUACAGGGAAAUGAAUUUAAUUUUAUGCACAUUCGAUUCAUGUUCAUCAAUCCACUGGGCUGCACUUGUCUGU